This is a long non-coding RNA of Odontomachus brunneus, 490 nucleotides long. RefSeq lists it as uncharacterized. The transcript has 3 exons. Lineage: Eukaryota; Metazoa; Arthropoda; Insecta; Hymenoptera; Formicidae. The record is from RefSeq and is a predicted model, not a curated record.
CCGCUUGCGAGGGAGGAAGAAGGGUGGGUGCGGUGGUUAUACGUGCUUUAUACCGUCGCUAGUCUACACGAAGCCGGUGUAAGGUUACGCGUUGCAAGUUAGUUGUCACGAGUGGGCACACAUUCGCUUAAAAUUAGCGAAUAUCAAGUAGGAAGCAAAUCGCGGGAGUGCUGGCCGAGCUGUGCUUGCUGGCUAGCUGGCUCUGAUAGUUCGAAGUAGAAACCGCUUCUAUUUUCGCGCGUACUUGCCAACGAGCGACGUCGAGCCAAUACCUUGAAUACCUCGCGUUAAUUACUCAUGGUUCGGUCAGCUUCUCUUUCCCCAAAUUUUGCAUUCCCCCUUUUCCUCUCGCGAAUCUCAUUUCGCAAAACCGACUUCUCCUCCUCCCGUCGCUUCUCUCGAUCGGCGUCUCGUAAGAAACGUCGUACGAUUUGGCACGUCUGAGAGAUGAGCGUUGGUAUACUUUGGAAUUCCGAGAUCGGAAGAGCGU